CUCUCUCUGUCUUCCGGGACCCCUUCCCCCCUCCGCCACCCACCGAUGGUUCCAGAUUUUAUCGCCGAUCUUUCCCCAAAAGGGGGAAAUUAUUCUUCAUCUUCUCCCACCGGAGGAGAUUCUUCCCCUUCUCGUCCGGCCAGCCGCGAUUGGAUUGUCUUCUUCCUGUUCUUAUCGCCGGAUUUAGGAUUUUUUUUGUUUUUUUUUGGAUCUGUUUUUCUGUUCUCAGAUCGAAUGCCCUCUUUCGGCUCCUCGUGUUGAUCGAUCGUCUGCAGAGUUCGGAUCGGAUCGGCGGAGGGAGCAAAGAUGAUGUCCAGAUCGUAUACGAACCUUCUCGACCUGGCGUCGGGGAACUUCCCGCGGUGGGCGGCGGGGGCGGGAGGGCCGGGAAGCGGCUGCCGCGUGUGAUGACGGUGCCGGGAGUGGUGUCGGAGCUCGACGACGACCAGGCCAACAGCCUCGCCUCCGAUGUACCUUCCUCUCUCUCCCAAGAUCGAAUCAUCAUCGUCGCCAAUCUUCUCCCUGUCAAGGCCAGGCGGCGGGGGGACGACCGGGGAUGGAGCUUCUCCUGGGACGAGGAAUCCGUCCUCUUCCAGCUCAAGGACGGCUUCCCCGACGACAUGGAGGUCCUCUACGUCGGCUCCCUCUGCGUCGACGUCGAUCCCGGCGAGCAGGACGACGUCUCACAGAUCCUGUUGGAGCGAUUCAAGUGCGUUCCCGCUUUCCUCCCCGACGAUAUCUGCGGCAAGUUCUACAGCGGCUU
This 763-nucleotide long non-coding RNA is filed under the name Spirodela polyrhiza (greater duckweed). RNAcentral describes it as "long non-coding RNA (SPOL_LNC001090)". Lineage: Eukaryota; Viridiplantae; Streptophyta; Magnoliopsida; Alismatales; Araceae. The record is from RNAcentral.